CCGCGGUUCCCAGAGGGCGUGAGGCGGUGGCGUGGACACCCCGGGAAUGGACCGUACCCUUUUUCAAAAGGAACUCAUGAUGUAUACAAAUAGAAUGCUCUUCCCCUUCUUUGCUGGCCAAUUCCUACUCAUGUGUUAAAACCAAGCUUAGAGAUUACCUCUUUGAUGACAUCUCUACCAAGUCUGAUUGAGAACAUCUCUGUGAGCACAUAGUAUUCUAACAUAUCUCUAUCAUCAUACCAUGAAAUCAUCAUGUCAUGUAAGCUCCUUCAGGGAAGGGAAGAUGUGUGAAGGGCCCACGGGUGCAGCAAGAGGAGUGAUCCCAUUCCUGCAUGCCUCAUUUGGCAUGACUUAAGACAAACAUGGAGGGAGCAUUGCAUCACCACAUCAGUCAGAAGCAAAAGAGGACAUCAGUUGGAAAGGGCCCUUUGGCACUGUGUAGCAACAAUCCCAAAAUCAUUCAUCUUGGAGGAGAAAGGUUGGAUUACCCAGGGAGGACGGCCUGACACCUGUCAUGGAAUCUUCUGCCGGGAUGGGGUAACUACCCUGGGUGCAAGUGAUGGGGCAGAAAGGAGAUGACAUGCAGUCAUACACAGAAUAAAAGAUGUCUGCUACCACCCUGUAGUCCUCAGGUGCUGUGGACCACCAGCAGUUCCACAGUCAGAACACUGACAAA
Long non-coding RNA from Pongo pygmaeus (Bornean orangutan), 676 nucleotides. RefSeq lists it as uncharacterized. The transcript is spliced from 3 exons. The record is from RefSeq and is a predicted model, not a curated record. NCBI's taxonomy places the organism in Eukaryota, Metazoa, Chordata, Mammalia, Primates, Hominidae.